UGGCUCUCGCAUCGAUGAAGAACGCAGCGAAAUGCGAUAAGUAAUGUGAAUUGCAGAAUUCAGUGAAUCAUCGAAUCUUUGAACGCAACUUGCGCCCUCUGGUAUUCCGGAGGGCAUGCCUGUUUGAGUGUCAUGCAGCUCAUUCAAUGAUGAAUAUUAUUGAAUGGAUUUGGGGGUUUGCCACGGUGUUGGCUCUCCUUAAAAGAAUAAUGUAGACGUAAUAAGUUUCGUCGUACGCAUUCUAAUACUGUAUUUGUACUCUGGCCUCAAAUCAGGUAGGGCUACCCGCUGA
This 292-nucleotide unclassified non-coding RNA is filed under the name uncultured fungus. RNAcentral's name for it is "partial contains 5.8S ribosomal RNA and internal transcribed spacer 2". The stretch from base 1 to 133 matches the Rfam family "5.8S ribosomal RNA", at positions 22 to 154 of the family's 154-position model. The record is from RNAcentral. Lineage: Eukaryota; Fungi.